UGUAUAUUGACUAAUGCCUAUAAAAAUCAAUCAACCCCAACACCCAAAGCCGUCCAGGAGUGUAGAGUACUUUACAUCACCGGGUUGAGGCCGUUUUCUCCUUCUUACAUCCUUCCUAGUACACUAAGUUAAAAGCUGACAUCUUUCCCAGUACAUUACGCAGGCCUUCCGUUGGGGUCUGAGGGAAAAACGCUAGCCUCUGCAUGGGGUUCCUGCGGGCCUUCAACUUCAAGCAGCCAAUUUACAUAUGCUGUGAUAACUGAUAUACCGGUAUACAUAUAAUUUAUAUACUACAUUUCAUUAUAGAGCGUUUGCUCGCUCUCCCUCAUUCCGCCCCUCGCCAGUCGCUAUUUUGCUUUGUAAACACAAAAAUAAGGCUAGUUCUAAUGUCAGUAGAACAAGAGCUGGUGGCUGAGGCUGCUUUGUUGGCUUGGGACGCGAGUUUUCGCGCUGCUGACCGCUCGUUGACCAGCUCGGCGACGCUGCUGCUGAGACGUCAGCUGAAGCCAGCUAUCACAUGAGACUUACAACUGUGCCUCAUAAAUGAUCAGCUGUGCUUUUAAUGUUUUAAUGGGGAAGUCUUGGUCAAAAACGCCAUACAUUCAACAUCACGUUCAGCACGACCGUUGUCGCGUCUCACGGAAGUCCACAGGUUAGUCCACAGGUUAAAAUGAAGACGGGAGGCUUUAAACCUGCAGCCUGGAAUGCCCGCCCGGCCAUAUGUCACAACCCCGUGUGUGUAUGUGUACUUGCAGGAUCCUCCGCCAUGCUCUUGAGGACGAUUCUAGGAGCCGUUCGAGGGUGAGUCCAUGGAAAAUAUGUUUGAGGAGAUGCCGUAGAUGCAGGUAGAUGCAGGUCCCCAGCGGCUGCAACCCUGGCGCAAGAUGGUUCGCAACCCCUUCACUCAUGUUGUGUUCGCUAGUCGGAGCCCCAGCCUUCAAGAGAUGACUGUUUGCUGCCUCCCUUACUAGCGCUGUAUGGUAUGUAUGUCUAUAUCACUUCCUGGUACCUCUAGUCCGUGUCACAUACCCGCCUGCUGCCACACGCCCCUUCCCCCAGGUCGGCUGGCUGGACUGCCGCCACACCUCCAACAUUGUGUUUAGCAACGGUGAGUGUCCGCAUCACCAGUGGGCAUACACACCGAAACACAUACAGGCCCGCUUCAUGAGAUAGGUCCGGUGCACUACCAAGCACUCUGUUCUUGGCCGGCAGCCUUGCAUUGGCAUUGGCACCUUGCGGCAGGAGUGCAGGGUGUGUUCACAUGUGUGCACGCGUGCAUGCAGGUGCAGCCAGUGGAGGCAGAACUACAGGAGCUAGCAUGACACGAGCUGUCCGGCACUAGAGUUGGAGACGGGCGCGGUGGCACCAGUGGCGGCUGCUGUGGAGGCGGGUGAUGUGCCGACUGCAGUGGAGGCGGGUGUCAAGGUGGUGGGAGACGUCAUGCCCAGCAGACACGCCAGUGGUUGUUGUUGCACGUUUGACACAUUCAUACCAUUUAGACAUCAUAUGACAGGCUUGGGUUAAUGGCACAGACGUAAUAUAGUGUUGUAGACAGUGGCAGACCAGGAGAGCAAGACUGUGGUGGGCUUUGAAUGCACGGAGACUCAGCUGGAGAGUGCCAAGGAGUAGGGAAGCAGAGGGCUAACUGAGUAUGGUGUUGUUGGUGAGUUGGACUGGGAACACAAGGCAGGUGACCUCCUCAAGGCAGUUGACAUGGGUUGGUGAGGGCACUUGGUACAAAAUGCAGCAGGCUGAUGUGUGUGGUCACUGCUAGGGCGGGGCUUGUAUAUCAAGGCGGCAUCAUGUAAAGGAGACACUUUACAGGCCACAAUGAACAACCCUAAACCCAGGCUGGCAGGCG
RNAcentral lists this long non-coding RNA (1861 nucleotides) under Chlamydomonas reinhardtii. RNAcentral describes it as "long non-coding RNA (CREI_LNC001326)". Lineage: Eukaryota; Viridiplantae; Chlorophyta; Chlorophyceae; Chlamydomonadales; Chlamydomonadaceae. The record is from RNAcentral.